GAAUUCGCCCUUAGAGUUUGAUCCUGGCUCAGGACGAACGCUGGCGGCGCGCCUAACACAUGCAAGUCGAACGAGCGAGAGAGAGCUUGCUUUCUCGAGCGAGUGGCGAACGGGUGAGUAACGCGUGAGGAACCUGCCUCAAAGAGGGGGACAACAGUUGGAAACGACUGCUAAUACCGCAUAAGCCCACAGCUCGGCAUCGAGCAGAGGGAAAAGGAGCAAUCCGCUUUGAGAUGGCCUCGCGUCCGAUUAGCUAGUUGGUGAGGUAAUGGCCCACCAAGGCAACGAUCGGUAGCCGGACUGAGAGGUUGAACGGCCACAUUGGGACUGAGACACGGCCCAGACUCCUACGGGAGGCAGCAGUGGGGAAUAUUGCACAAUGGGGGAAACCCUGAUGCAGCGACGCCGCGUGGAGGAAGAAGGUCUUCGGAUUGUAAACUCCUGUUGUUGAGGAAGAUAAUGACGGUACUCAACAAGGAAGUGACGGCUAACUACGUGCCAGCAGCCGCGGUAAAACGUAGGUCACAAGCGUUGUCCGGAAUUACUGGGUGUAAAGGGAGCGCAGGCGGGAGAACAAGUUGGAAGUGAAAUCCAUGGGCUCAACCCAUGAACUGCUUUCAAAACUGUUUUUCUUGAGUAGUGCAGAGGUAGGCGGAAUUCCCGGUGUAGCGGUGGAAUGCGUAGAUAUCGGGAGGAACACCAGUGGCGAAGGCGGCCUACUGGGCACCAACUGACGCUGAGGCUCGAAAGUGUGGGUAGCAAACAGGAUUAGAUACCCUGGUAGUCCACACCGUAAACGA
Molecule: ribosomal RNA, 800 nt
Filed under: uncultured bacterium
Lineage: Bacteria
Description: bacterial SSU rRNA
Rfam family: Bacterial small subunit ribosomal RNA
Source: RNAcentral